RNAcentral lists this ribosomal RNA (506 nucleotides) under uncultured bacterium. Its description in RNAcentral is "partial 16S ribosomal RNA". It matches the Rfam family "Bacterial small subunit ribosomal RNA", at positions 29 to 523 of the family's 1533-position model. The record is from RNAcentral.
AGUGAACGCUGGCGGUAGGCCUAACACAUGCAAGUCGAACGGCAGCACAGGAGAGCUUGCCCUCUGGGUGGCGAGUGGCGGACGGGUGAGGAAUACAUCGGAAUCUACUCUGUCGUGGGGGAUAACGUAGGGAAACUUACGCUAAUACCGCAUACGACCUACGGGUGAAAGCAGGGGAUCUUCGGACCUUGCGCGAUUGAAUGAGCCGAUGUCGGAUUAGCUAGUUGGCGGGGUAAAGGCCCACCAAGGCGACGAUCCGUAGCUGGUCUGAGAGGAUGAUCAGAAACACUGGAAAUGAGACACGGUCCAGACUCCUACGGGAGGCGGCAGUGGGGAAUAUUGGACAAUGGGCGCAAGCCUGAUCCAGCCAUACCGCGUGGGUGAAGAAGGCCUUCGGGUUGUAAAGCCCUUUUGUUGGGAAAGAAAUCCAGCUGGCUAAUACCCGGUUGGGAUGACGGUACCCAAAGAAUAAGCACCGGCUAACUUCGUGCCAGCCGCCGCCGUAA